RNAcentral lists this ribosomal RNA (496 nucleotides) under uncultured bacterium. RNAcentral describes it as "partial 16S ribosomal RNA". It matches the Rfam family "Bacterial small subunit ribosomal RNA", at positions 29 to 507 of the family's 1533-position model. The record is from RNAcentral.
AUGAACGCUGGCGGCGUGCCUAAUACUUGCAAGUCGAGCGAACAGACGAGGAGCUUGCUCCUCUGACGUUAGCGGCGGACGGGUGAGUAACACGUGGAUAACCUACCUAUAAGACUGGGAUAACUUCGGGAAACCGGAGCUAAUACCGGAUAAUAUAUUGAACCGCAUGGUUCAAUAGUGAAAGACGGUUUUGCUGUCACUUAUAGAUGGAUCCGCGCCGCAUUAGCUAGUUGGUAAGGUAACGGCUUACCAAGGCAACGAUGCGUAGCCGACCUGAGAGGGUGAUCGGCCACACUGGAACUGAGACACGGUCCAGACUCCUACGGGAGGCAGCAGUAGGGAAUCUUCCGCAAAGGGCGAAAGCCUGACGGAGCAACGCCGCGUGAGUGAUGAAGGUCUUCGGAUCGUAAAACUCUGUUAUUAGGGAAGAACAAAUGUGUAAGUAACUAUGCACGUCUUGACGGUACCUAAUCAGAAAGCCACGGCUAACUACGUG